Molecule: non-coding RNA, 31 nt
Filed under: Mus musculus (house mouse)
Lineage: Eukaryota; Metazoa; Chordata; Mammalia; Rodentia; Muridae
Source: RNAcentral
UGGACUGUUUGUUCCUCGUGAUCGGGACCUG